RNAcentral lists this ribosomal RNA (406 nucleotides) under uncultured beta proteobacterium. RNAcentral describes it as "bacterial SSU rRNA". It matches the Rfam family "Bacterial small subunit ribosomal RNA", at positions 9 to 416 of the family's 1533-position model. The record is from RNAcentral. Lineage: Bacteria; Pseudomonadati; Pseudomonadota; Betaproteobacteria.
GAGUUUGAUCUUGGCUCAGAUUGAACGCUGGCGGCAUGCCUUACACAUGCAAGUCGAACGGUAACAGGUCUUUCGGGAUGCUGACGAGUGGCGAACGGGUGAGUAAUACAUCGGAACGUGCCUAGUAGUGGGGGAUAACUACUCGAAAGAGUGGCUAAUACCGCAUGAGAUCUAUGGAUGAAAGCAGAGGACCUUCGGGCCUUGUGCUACUAGAGCGGCCGAUGGCAGAUUAGGUAGUUGGUGGGAUAAAAAGCUUACCAAGCCUACGAUCUGUAGCUGGUCUGAGAGGACGAUCAGCCACACUGGGACUGAGACACGGCCCAGACUCCUACGGGAGGCAGCAGUGGGGAAUUUUGGACAAUGGGCGCAAGCCUGAUCCAGCAAUGCCGCGUGCAGGAUGAAGGCC